GAUGAACGCUAGCGGCAGGCUUAAUACAUGCAAGUCGAGGGGCAGCAGGGUGUAGCAAUACAUCGCUGGCGACCGGCAAACGGGUGCGGAACACGUGCGCAACCUUCCUUCAAGUGAGGAAUAGCCCAGGGAAACUUGGAUUAAUACCUCGUAACAUUGUGAAGUGGCAUCACUUUAUAAUUAUAGCUCAGGCGCUUGAAGAUGGGCGUGCGACNGAUUAGGUAGUUGGCGGAGUAACAGCCCACCAAGCCUGCGAUCAGUAACUGGUGUGAGAGCACGACCAGUCACGACGGGC
Molecule: ribosomal RNA, 295 nt
Filed under: uncultured bacterium
Lineage: Bacteria
Description: partial 16S ribosomal RNA
Rfam family: Bacterial small subunit ribosomal RNA
Source: RNAcentral